AGAAGAAGAAAAGUAUAGUCAUCACAUAUUUCAAACUAGAACCACUGAUGAAAAGGGAAUGAAGUUGUUCACUUUUGUCCAGCUCAAGAGUUUCUUCCUAAGAUUCAAGAGAUACUAAAGACUCUAAAAGAUAAGACCAAAGGCAUAAAAGGGGCCAUUGUUGAAGACAACAAGUUCUGCAUCUCUGUUCACUUUCCACAAGUAGUAGAU
Long non-coding RNA from Humulus lupulus (European hop), 210 nucleotides. RefSeq lists it as uncharacterized. The transcript has 3 exons. The record is from RefSeq and is a predicted model, not a curated record. Lineage: Eukaryota; Viridiplantae; Streptophyta; Magnoliopsida; Rosales; Cannabaceae.